Molecule: ribosomal RNA, 451 nt
Filed under: uncultured Sphingobacteriales bacterium
Lineage: Bacteria; Pseudomonadati; Bacteroidota; Sphingobacteriia; Sphingobacteriales
Description: bacterial SSU rRNA
Rfam family: Bacterial small subunit ribosomal RNA
Source: RNAcentral
AGACGGUGGAGCAUGUGGUUAAUUCGAAUGAUACGCGAGGAACCUUACCUGGGCUCAAAUGUAUGUUGACGUAUUCUGAAAGGGAUACUUCUUCGGACAAUAUACAAGGUGCUGCAUGGUGUCGUCAGCUCGUGCCGUGAGGUGUCGGGUUAAGUCCCAUAACGAGCGCAACCCCUAUCAUUAGUUGCCAUCAGGUCAAGCUGGGGACUCUAAUGAAACUGCCUACGCAAGUAGUGAGGAAGGUGGGGAUGACGUCAAAUCAGCACGGCCCUUACGUCCAGGGCUACACACGUGCUACAAUGGCCGGUACAAAGGGCAGCUACCUGGUGACAGGAUGCUAAUCUCAAAAGCCGGUCUCAGUUCGGAUCGGAGUCUGCAACCCGACUCCGUGAAGCUGGAAUCGCUAGUAAUCGUGGAUCAGCAUGCCACGGUGAAUACGUUCCCGGGCCUU